AGAGUUUGAUCCUGGCUCAGGACGAACGCUGGCGGCGUGCUUAACACAUGCAAGUCGAACGGAAGUUACGAGGAAGCUUGCGAAUUGUAACUUUAGUGGCGGACGGGUGAGUAACGCGUGGAUAACCUGCCUACAUGCCUGGGACAACACCGGGAAACUGGUGCUAAUACCGGAUACGCUCUUGGAUGCACAUGCAUUUGAAAGGAAAGGAGUAAUCCGCAGGUAGAUGGGUCCGCGUCCCAUUAGCUAGUUGGGGGUGUAAAAGACCACCAAGGCGACGAUGGGUAGCCGGCCUGAGAGGGUGGACGGCCACACUGGAACUGAGACACGGUCCAGACUCCUACGGGAGGCAGCAGUGGGGAAUCUUCCGCAAUGGGCGAAAGCCUGACGGAGCAACGCCGCGUGAGUGAAGAAGGCCUUCGGGUCGUAAAACUCUGUCUUCAGGGAAGAAAAAAAUGACGGUACCUGAGGAGGAAGCCCCGGCUAACUACGUGCCAGCAGCCGCGGUAAAACGUAGGGGGCGAGCGUUGUCCGGAAUUACUGGGCGUAAAGGGCGCGUAGGCGGUUAUUUAAGUCAGAGGUGAAAACUACCGGCUCAACCGGUAGCCUGCCUUUGAAACUGGAUGACUUGAGGGCAGGAGAGGGGAGUGGAAUUCCCAGUGUAGCGGUGAAAUGCGUAGAUAUUGGGAGGAACACCAGUGGCGAAGGCGGCUCUCUGGCCUGUUUCUGACGCUGAGGCGCGAAAGCGUGGGGAGCAAACGGGAUUAGAUACCCUGGUAGUC
RNAcentral lists this ribosomal RNA (782 nucleotides) under uncultured bacterium. Its description in RNAcentral is "bacterial SSU rRNA". It matches the Rfam family "Bacterial small subunit ribosomal RNA", at positions 8 to 795 of the family's 1533-position model. The record is from RNAcentral.